RNAcentral lists this transfer RNA (71 nucleotides) under Marmota monax (woodchuck). RNAcentral's name for it is "tRNA.Ala". Lineage: Eukaryota; Metazoa; Chordata; Mammalia; Rodentia; Sciuridae. The record is from RNAcentral.
GGGGUUGUGGCUCAGCGGUAGAGCGCUCACCCAGCAUGUAUGCAGCCCUGGGUUCGAUCCUCAGCACCACA